Molecule: transfer-messenger RNA, 347 nt
Filed under: Bifidobacterium pullorum
Lineage: Bacteria; Bacillati; Actinomycetota; Actinomycetes; Bifidobacteriales; Bifidobacteriaceae
Rfam family: transfer-messenger RNA
About the family: Bacterial tmRNA, also known as 10Sa RNA or SsrA, is named for its dual tRNA and mRNA-like properties. Its role is to liberate the mRNA from a stalled ribosome.
Source: RNAcentral
GGGGCCGAUACGGUUUUCGACGGAGGCGUUUCGUGGAUUACGGUCGGCGUGCCGGGGGAUGAUGCGACAACCGUCAUCAAUCGCAUCGAACGAAUAAUCGCCAAGAAUAUUCGCGCUUUCGCCCUCGCCGCCUAGCGGCGGGGCGCAUGGCCGGCGUCCGGGCCACGGUAAACCAAUCGGACGCGCCACCAACCCCAAGCCGGUCGCGGCGGUGAACCGGGGAGGACACUUCAGCCGCCGCCCCACCCCGGACGGGUCAGAGCCGGGAACGCCCCAUAGGGGGCUACGCACGUAGAGGACCAUUCCAUCAUGUUUCCGGACGCGGGUUCGACUCCCGCCGGCUCCAC